AUGGAUACUCAAUUUAAAGUGAGUAAACAGAAUUCCAUACUCGAUCUCAUAGAUCCCUAUAGAAUUCUGUGGAAAGCCGUAUUCGAUGAAAGUCGUAUGUACGGCUUGGAGGGAGAUCUUUCCUAUCUUUCGAGAUCCACCCUACAAUAUGGGGUCAAAAAGCCAAAAAAAUAA
Molecule: ribosomal RNA, 174 nt
Filed under: Triticum aestivum (bread wheat)
Lineage: Eukaryota; Viridiplantae; Streptophyta; Magnoliopsida; Poales; Poaceae
Source: RNAcentral